This 295-nucleotide ribosomal RNA is filed under the name uncultured bacterium. Its description in RNAcentral is "partial 16S ribosomal RNA". It matches the Rfam family "Bacterial small subunit ribosomal RNA", at positions 334 to 622 of the family's 1533-position model. The record is from RNAcentral.
GUGCCUACGGGGCGCAGCAGUAGGGAAUCUUCCACAAUGGGCGAAAGCCCGAUGGAGCAACGCCGCGUGGGUGAAGAAGGUCUUCGGAUCGUAAAACCCUGUUGUUAGAGAAGAAAGUGCGUGAGAGUAACUGUUCACGUUUCGACGGUAUCUAACCAGAAAGCCACGGCUAACUACGUGCCAGCAGCCGCGGUAAUACGUAGGUGGCAAGCGUUAUCCGGAUUUAUUGGUCGUAAAGGGAACGCAGGCGGUCUUUUAAGUCUGAUGUGAAAGCCUUCGGCUUCACCGUCGUAGU